Molecule: non-coding RNA, 91 nt
Organism: Mycena epipterygia
Lineage: Eukaryota; Fungi; Basidiomycota; Agaricomycetes; Agaricales; Mycenaceae
Source: the annotation of a GenBank genome assembly
GCCUGUAUAGAUCAGUGGUAGAUCACCUCUGCUUCAUAUCCAAAAAACCCACUCUCGUGGGGAGCCGGAGGUUCGAUUCCUCCUGCGGGCA